UUGUCAAACAAGAAGACAUCCAAUAGUUGCAAUGUUAUCUAACCAAUAACAAAGCGACCCUUGAGACCCAUGAAUUCAUCUGUAAAAGGAUUAAUCACAAUACAGUGCAUAAGGUGCCUAGUGAUUUUAAUGUGCACAAUGGUGUACCUUAAUUAAAAACACAGUUGCAAGAAGCUGUAACUACUAACCAUUUGAGGACCAAUAACAAUUAG
Non-coding RNA from Biomphalaria pfeifferi, 212 nucleotides. Lineage: Eukaryota; Metazoa; Mollusca; Gastropoda; Planorbidae. The record is from the annotation of a GenBank genome assembly.